CUGACUGAUUCUGUUUUGUAGCGCGUCUUGUGUUGACCUGCAACCCAGCAGCCACGCGGCAUGGCCCUGUAUAUUUUUAGCUGAAGACCGAGCUGCAUGCUCACUAUUCUUCCGCCGGUGCUUCUGACGAGGGCCAUCCGUUCCUCGCUACAGACUUUCAGAGGUUAGUGCUCUCCCUCACUUAAUUUCAGUCCAUUAUUGUUUGCUUUAGUAACCGGUUGACGGAAUUAUAUGAGCGCAGCUGUAGUCGUCCAAUCUCACAACCCCUCUACCGAGAUAGUACUAACUCAGGCCCGCUCGGAAACAAUUCCUAAUCCUAUGGGGUGUGGGUUGGGUGGCGUACUGGGAUGCAAUCCUGAUUUCCCUAUUUUUCUCUCUAGUCUCACGUGUUUGCAUCAGGGGCUUUUACGUUCAAAAGCAACGAAAUUUCCCCUCCCAGCCCAUGCGUUAAUACUGAUGCAAAAAACUAUACACCCUAUAUCAAGUAGCGGAGGGAGUAUAUUGUUGAGUAGUGGGUGCCAGUACAAGGGGUUAGCAAUUAUCACUAAUCAUAUAUCUUAUAUAAUUAAGUAGGUGAUUAUCAUUCACAUUUUUUCCUUAGCAUGUAAUGAUGCGACCUCAACAUACAACCCUGCUUAAAAAAAUGUUCGCUUAAACAUGCAACCAUGCAUGAAAUGUUUUCACCACUUAUAUUCAAAAAAUAUUUUAUAAAUAUGUAACAAUCAAAUAUAAUAAAUCAUGUGUGUGUGUGUGUGUAUGUAACAAAUCAAGUCUGAUAUAAUGAAUAUUUAUAAAUAUUCAGUUUCAGUUCUCAAGAUAUUAAUCUGAAUUUUCAUGUUCCACUUGAAUCGGAAAUCUUGUAUUCUUCACAUACAACUAAAUCUUAUUGAAAUAUAUUACAACUGAUUCCCACGGCAACAUGUAGCGUGUCAUCUACUCCCUCCGUCCCAUAAUAUAACGUUUUUGACACUAGUGUAGUGUCAAAAACAUUUUUAUAUUAUGGGACAGAGGGAGUAGUUAACAAGCACUGGUUAUGCUCGCAUCAACAACCUCAUCAUGUCGCCUUCAUGGUGUGUUUGUGUUGUUGGUCCCGGGCCGCUGGUUGGCCAACGCCACUUGGCUCCAUGGAUUAGCAUGAGGCCGUUGUCCUGACAAAGAGGCGCACUAGAUUCAACGGGCACAAAUCCGUAGGCACCGCCCGUAUUUUUUCUUUCAAGUUUCAGCCACCAGUGCAACGCAUUGAUCUCCAUGACUAAGACUAGCCACAGUGGGAGUAACUUCGGUAGUAACAUCGAGUCCAACUCAGCAAUUUUGCUUAUAUGGCAAUGAGUUAAUGAGGAGAGAUGUAGUACUAGUAACUUAGCUAGUUACUGUAACAUCACAUGUCUCAAUGCAAUAUGAGUCUAUAACGUAAUAAAUGAAGCUUUGCAUGUUACCACACUUAUGUUACUACCCACUAUUGAGGUAGUAACAUAGAGUAGUAACAUGGACAUGUUACUAUUCUAUGUUACUAUCCAUUGUGGCUAGUCUAAAACGUCUAUGUUUCCCCUCAAUCAAUUUCUUGGAUGAUUGAUCCGAGUUAGUUUGGUGCCAAUGGGAGAGUCAACAUUGACUACCAUCGUCGUCUUUUGUUGUUGUUCCGCUCCAGCCGAAGCUUGAGACAUGAUUCGAAAGACAACUUGCUUUCGUUUUCAUCUUUGCAUGCAACGUCAGUGAGCUUGGGUAGCCAAGCCCAUUCAUCCAGGGCCCCAUCGAAGUUAAUUGCAUUAUUCAAUUGAUUGCAUCUGAAUCUGACUGCUCCUAUACUUGUGUACAUCCUAGUUAGAGCUCAUUUUGGGAGUAUAUAACAAAAAACUACCAUAUUACAGGCUAUCGCUAAAAAAACUACCGCUUUUUUUAAUUUUUCAAAAUGCUACCAUAAUUUUGGUUGGUUGUUCCAAAAAACUACCAUGUUGCACUAAUGACCGUGUUAGUUAAUUUCAAUCGCGUUUAUAACAGAUUGGGUCCACUCGUCAGCUUUGACCGCUAGUUGACUGUUUGUUUGACCGUUACUUACAUGUGGGACCCACAUGUUAGCUCUCUCUUCCUCCCUAAUCUCUUUGUUCUCUCCCUCUCCUUCCCUGAACUCUCUCUCCUAAGCCAUGGCCAGCACCAAGGCCGGCGCAGCAGCCGCGGCAAGGACAGUGAGAAGCAGCAGCAGAAGUGGCAGUGGGCAGCUGUGGCGAGAAUAGAAGCUGCAAGGGCAGCGAGCAAGCAGCAGCAGCAGCGCAUACAGCGCCGGCGAGCAGGGGAGCAGCAGCAGCCGUGAGCAGGGGAGCAGCGCCAGUGAGCAGCAGCAGCUGUCAGCGGCACGCAGCGGCGGCAGUGGGGAGCAUUGCCGGUGAACAGCAGCAGCCGCGAGCGGCAUGCAACGGCGGCGCUGGGGCAGCGCCGUCAUGGAGCAGCAGCCGCGAACGGCACGCAGCGGCGGCAACGGGGAGCUGCGCCGGCGAGCGGCACGCGGCGGUGGCGUGGAGCAGCAGCCGCGAGCGGCACGCAACGGCGGCGUUGGGGCAGCGCCGUCAUGGAGCAGCAGCCGUGAGCGGCACACAACGGCGGCGUUGGGGCAGCGCCGUCAUGGAGCAGCAGCCGCGAGCGGCACGCAGCGGCGGCAACGUGGAGCUUCGCCGGCAACAUGAAUAGAUAAAAGAGGGAGCACCUCGCCAGUGAACUUCGUUUUGUAUUAUUAGUACAAAAAAUGCAGAGAAGGACGAAAACGGCGUGGCAUCUUCUGCUGUAAACGUAGUAGCGAUCCAGCAUUGAUCACUAUGUGUAGUAGUGUUUGCACUAUUUGCCUGACCGUCCCAUGCCACCCACACGGUUGGUGGGCGUGGGCGUGGCGUGCGACCACCUUGCUUUCUUGCAUCGCACCGGCCAUCACGAGCUGCAGGCGCAGCGGCCAUGGAGAAGCUCGGGGCGAACCCGGCCAACUCCUGCCCGCUCACGCCGCUGGGCUUCCUGGAGCGUGCCGCCACCGUGUUCGGCGACUGCCCCUCCGUCGUCUACCGCGGCACCGUCUUCACCUGGUCCCAGACCUACCGCCGCUGCCUCCGCCUCGCCUCCGCGCUCGACGUCGUGUCCGUGCUGCUGCCGAACGUGCCGGCCAUGUACGAGGCGCACUUCGGCGUGCCAAUGAGCGGCGCCGUGCUCAACACCAUCAACACGCGCCUCGACGCGCGCACGAUCGCCGCCGGGCCACGCCGCACCGCGCGUCGUGCUCGUCGAGGAUACCCACGACCACGAGAAGGAUCGGUUCCCUCCCGCUCCCGCCACGGAUCUGACGUACGAGAGGCUCCUCGAGAUGGCGGAUCCGGAGUUCAAGUGGGUCCGGCCGACCAGCGAGUGGGACCCGAUGGUGCUCAACUACACCUCCGGCACCACGGCUGCGCCCAAGCGGGUCGUGCACUGCCACCGCGGCAUCUUCGUGGUCACCAUGGUGUCGCUUGUGGACUGGGCGGUGCCGCCGCGGCCGACGUUCCUGUGGACGCUGCCCAUGUUCCAUGCCAAUGGGUGGAGCUUCCCUUGGGGAAUGGCCGUCGUCGGGGGCACCAACGUCUGCCUCCGCCGCGUCGACGCCAAGAAUGUCUACGCCGCCAUCACGGAUCACGAGAUCACACACCUCUGUGGCGCGCCCGUCGUGCUCAGCAUGCUGGCCAACGCGCCGGAGGGUGUACGCAAGCCUCUGCACAGUAAGGUACGGAUCAUGACUGCCGGCUCGCCGCCGCCUGCUGCGGUGCUGCAUCGUGUUGAGGCAUUGGGCUUUGAGCUCAGCCAUGGGUACGGGCUAACAGAGACUGGAGGCCACGUCGUGUCGUGCGCGUGGAAGGGCGAGUGGAACAAGCUGCCGGCGUCGGAGCGCGCGCGGCUCAAGGCGAGGCAGGGCGUGCGCACGCCCGGCAAGGCCGAGGUGGACAUCGUCGACGCCGACACAGGCCGCAGCGUGCCCCGAGAGGGCUCCACGAUGGGCGAGAUCGUGCUCCGCGGCGGGUGCAUCAUGCUGGGCUACCUCAACGACAGCGAGGCGACAAAGGCGGCGAUUCGGGACGACGGGUGGUUCUACACGGGGGACGUGGGCGUGAUGCACCCGGACGGGUACCUGGAGAUCCGCGACCGGUCCAAGGACGUGAUCAUCAGCGGCGGCGAGAACAUCAGCAGCGUGGAGGUGGAAUCCAUGCUCUACGGCCGCCCGGCGGUGAGCGAGGCGGCGGUGGUGGCGCGGCCGGACGAGUUCUGGGGGGAGACACCGUGCGCGUUCGUGAGCCUGAAGGAAGACGCGGCGGGCACGGUGACCACGGCCGAGGUCAUGGCAUGGAGCCGGGAGCGCAUGGCGGGGUACAUGGUGCCCAAGACCGUGGUGUUCCGCGCCGAGCUGCCCAAGACGUCCACCGGCAAGGUCAAGAAGUACGUGCUGCGGAAGCUCGCCAUGGAGAUGGGCCCCACUUGCAGGGUUAGCAGCAGCAGCAGCAGCAAGAUGUAGUGUACGGCAUGGCAAUGGGCAAAGGGUUUGUUCUAAAUUUUGAUCCCUUUUCCUUUGCGUGUGGGCAAAGUGCUACUCUACAACAUUUUUCGCGUCAUUAUCACGUUUUGUAAAGGCAUUGACAUGGUGGACUGCUUUUCACGCCCCACCAAUUGAAUAAAAUUGUGCUUCGAG
This 4690-nucleotide ribosomal RNA is filed under the name Triticum aestivum (bread wheat). Its description in RNAcentral is "partial small subunit ribosomal RNA". Lineage: Eukaryota; Viridiplantae; Streptophyta; Magnoliopsida; Poales; Poaceae. The record is from RNAcentral.